Aedes aegypti (yellow fever mosquito) is the source of this 72-nucleotide non-coding RNA. Lineage: Eukaryota; Metazoa; Arthropoda; Insecta; Diptera; Culicidae. The record is from Rfam.
UGCUUGGUACCUUAGUUGGUAAAGCGCUCGUAUAGCAUACAAGAGUCCUGGGUUGAAAUCAUAGCCAAGCAC